Molecule: transfer RNA, 73 nt
Filed under: Benthodesmus tenuis (slender frostfish)
Lineage: Eukaryota; Metazoa; Chordata; Actinopteri; Scombriformes; Trichiuridae
Description: tRNA-Leu
Source: RNAcentral
GCUAGUAAAGGAUAACAGUACAUCCGCUGGCCUUAGGCGCCAGAAACUCUUGGUGCGACUCCAAGUACUAGCU